UACGGAGGGCGCAAGCGUUGCUCGGAAUCAUUGGGCGUAAAGCGCACGUAGGCGGCCCAGCAAGUCGGGUGUGAAAGCCCUCGGCUUAACCGAGGAAGUGCAUUCGAAACUACUGAGCUUGAAUACUGGAGAGGAUCGCGGAAUUCCCGGUGUAGAGGUGAAAUUCGUAGAUAUCGGGAGGAACACCAGUGGCGAAGGCGGCGAUCUGGACAGAUAUUGACGCUGAGGUGCGAAAGCGUGGGGAGCAAACAGG
RNAcentral lists this ribosomal RNA (253 nucleotides) under uncultured bacterium. RNAcentral describes it as "partial 16S ribosomal RNA". It matches the Rfam family "Bacterial small subunit ribosomal RNA", at positions 524 to 776 of the family's 1533-position model. The record is from RNAcentral.